ACCAACCAGCGCUGGACUCUGCGUGCUACAAUAUCGACCUGCCAGGGAAGCUGUCUCCACAGGAGUGGCAGAAGCAGGAAGGUUAUGGGGGUGACCAGCGGCUUUCUGAUCAGGUCUGAGGUCUGCUCCCCAGGCACAUGCCUGACACUGUAAAUCCUGGGUGAAACCCGUGGCUGGGGAGCACCAGAGAGAAGGGACAGGAGAGGAAGGAAAGAUGUCCUUCAUCCUUGCGGCUGACUGUGACUUCGUGGUCAACCGCACUCUGGCAUUGAUAAGCCUCCUUUGUAUUUUCAGCCGAGCGCGGUACUACAGAAACGCUUCCACAGGGCCAGCAAGGUGGCUCAGCAGACGGAGCCUCUCCUCCUCGUGAGUCUAUUUGCACUCCUGAGCGUGCAAAGCUUUGAAAUGAGAAUGUCCCUGAUGACAGAACUUCAUGGAAGAUGGGGGAGAAAGAAUGCAAGAGCCAGGGGCAGCUCUCCAAGCCUGUGAUGCCAUCGUUGGAAGGAGCAGCCGGUGGCAGGGUGAAGCAUAGGCUGUGAGCAUAAGGGAAUACUAUACUGCACUCAAGAAGAAUGAGGAAGGGCUCCCCGAAAUGCCCCUGGGGGUGUUUAGAAUAGAUUGGCAAGAGCUUAACACAGGCUUCACAAGGUAUGUGUCACCCACAGGGCCUGGGAUCAAAGUGCCAGAUUUCAGGCUCUUUCCAAUUUGGGGACAUUUGCAUGGACUUGGCAGUGGUUAUUUUUAGAUGAAGGAUGCAUGGCCUACCUCCUGUUUACUGUUUGUUCAAGAAA
Molecule: non-coding RNA, 791 nt
Organism: Peromyscus maniculatus bairdii (prairie deer mouse)
Lineage: Eukaryota; Metazoa; Chordata; Mammalia; Rodentia; Cricetidae
Source: RefSeq, a predicted model, not a curated record